CCCUAGAGGAGCCUGUUCCAUAAUCGAUAAACCCCGAUCCACCUCACCCUCUCUUGCUUAGCCUAUAUACCGCCAUCUUCAGCAAACCCUGAUAAAGGUUACAAAGUGAGCACAAACGCCCUACCGCCGCAAAAACGUUAGGUCAAGGUGUAGCCAAUGAAAGGGUAAAAAUGGGCUACAUUUUCUACAUCAGAAAACUCCACGAAAACUCUUAUGAAACCUGAGAGUCCAAGGAGGAUUUAGCAGUAAAUUAAGAAUAGAGUGCUUAAUUGAACCAGGCCAUAAAGCGCGUACACACCGCCCGUCACUCCCCUCAAAUAUAUUUAAGGAACAUCCUAACUAAACGCCCUAACAUUUAUAUAGAGGGGACAAGUCGUAACAUGGUAAGUGUACUGGAAGGUGCACUUGGAC
This 411-nucleotide ribosomal RNA is filed under the name Macaca brunnescens. RNAcentral's name for it is "partial 12S ribosomal RNA". It matches the Rfam family "Bacterial small subunit ribosomal RNA", at positions 925 to 1522 of the family's 1533-position model. Lineage: Eukaryota; Metazoa; Chordata; Mammalia; Primates; Cercopithecidae. The record is from RNAcentral.